RNAcentral lists this ribosomal RNA (570 nucleotides) under uncultured bacterium. Its description in RNAcentral is "partial 16S ribosomal RNA". It matches the Rfam family "Bacterial small subunit ribosomal RNA", at positions 355 to 914 of the family's 1533-position model. The record is from RNAcentral.
UGGGGAAUAUUGGACAAUGGGCGCAAGCCUGAUCCAGCAAUGCCGCGUGUGUGAAGAAGGCCUUCGGGUUGUAAAGCACUUUUAUCAGGAGCGAAACGCUGUCGGCUAAUACCCGGCGGAACUGACGGUACCUGAGGAAUAAGCACCGGCUAACUUCGUGCCAGCAGCCGCGGUAAUACGAAGGGUGCAAGCGUUAAUCGGAAUUACUGGGCGUAAAGCGUGCGUAGGCGGUUUCUUAAGUCUGCUGUGAAAUCCCCGGGCUCAACCUGGGAAUGGCAGUGGAUACUGGGAGGCUAGAGUGUGUCAGAGGGUGGUGGAAUUCCCGGUGUAGCGGUGAAAUGCGUAGAGAUCGGGAGGAACAUCAGUGGCGAAGGCGGCCACCUGGGACAACACUGACGCUGAGGCACGAAAGCGUGGGGAGCAAACAGGAUUAGAUACCCUGGUAGUCCACGCCCUAAAGCGAUGCGAACUGGAUGUUGGUCUCAACUCGGAGAUCAGUNUCGGAAGCUAACGCGUUAAGUUCGCCGCCUGGGGAGUACGGUCGCAAGACUGAAACUCAAAUGAAUUGAC